GUCCACGCCGUAAACGGUGGAUGCUGGAUGUGGGACCAUUCCACGGUCUCCGUGUCGGAGCCAACGCGUUAAGCAUCCCGCCUGGGGAGUACGGCCGCAAGGCUAAAACUCAAAGAAAUUGACGGGGCCCGCACAAGCGGCGGAGCAUGCGGAUUAAUUCGAUGCAACGCGAAGAACCUUACCUGGGCUUGACAUGUUCCCGACAGCCCCAGAGAUGGGGCCUCCCUUCGGGGCGGUUCACAGGUGGUGCAUGGUCGUCGU
RNAcentral lists this ribosomal RNA (261 nucleotides) under uncultured bacterium. RNAcentral's name for it is "partial 16S ribosomal RNA". It matches the Rfam family "Bacterial small subunit ribosomal RNA", at positions 793 to 1055 of the family's 1533-position model. The record is from RNAcentral.